Molecule: long non-coding RNA, 1517 nt
Organism: Salvia splendens (bonfire salvia)
Lineage: Eukaryota; Viridiplantae; Streptophyta; Magnoliopsida; Lamiales; Lamiaceae
Exons: 3
Source: RefSeq, a predicted model, not a curated record
UUCGUUCUAUUCAAAAUUGAAUCAUUUGCUCUCCAAAACUGAUUCUCGAUAUUUUGAAACUCAUUUUUAUCUAGAAAUACCUAUCCAUUUCAAACUCGAUAUUUCAGGUCAUCAAUCGGAAAAUGGGACAAUCGACUAAUCUUCCGAAAUCAAAAGUACCAAACGACCUGCUGCCCUUUACUCGGAUAUUGAGUCCGACGCUGCCACCUUGGAGGCCCGGAGUAUACAGGAGCUAAUGGCCGCAGCGCAUGAAGUAAGGGAAACAACAUCUGCAUUCUUUACACUAUUAAAGGAUGCGCCACCGCGAUGAUGGAGCUUUUGGAGUUGUCACAAGCUCAAGCUCAACCACGAAAUGGAAAGGAAGUAGAUCUUGUGUCAAUGCUGAGACAGGCAAUGAAGGAUGAGGAGUUUGAUUGUCUGGAAUGGAUUGAGGCCAUGGAAUACAUAGUGAAGAGGCCAUAGAACACAGAUCUGAAUUUAUGCGAAACUUUCGCAUGCCAAAGGAUGAGGUUCCUGAGCCCGUGGGCGGGAGCGGGAGAGUUGGGGAUGAUGAUGUUGUGGCUACAAAUGCUAUUGAGGUGAAUAACAUUAUUCAAAUUAGAUUUAGGGUGUCCACAAUAAGGCGGACACCCUAAUAGUCUCGCCCCAGUUUUUGUCCAUAGCCCCAGUUUUUUUGUCCAUAGCCCCAAAAUUUUGUUUCCGCCCACUAUGGUGGACACCAAUAGCCCCAAAAUUUUUAUUUUAAUGUUUCAAGCAAUUACGAAUAAAUUUAUCGGACUAUACAUAAUUAGAAGAAAACGACUAUACGUGAAGAAAUUAGAAUUAAACUUAAAAUUAUAAUUAUAAUUAUAAUUAUAAUUAUAAUUAUAAUCAAAAAAUUCGCCGCCCUACUGCCGUGUCCGCCCACGCUCCACUAUAGGCGCCCCGCCUAUCCGCAGCGUCCGCCCCGGAGUCGCCGCGUCCUCGCCCCAAACUCGCCUAUCCGUCGUUCGCCGCCCACCGCCCCAAAUUCGUCGUCCGCCCCGUGGGCGGACACCUCCGCCACUAUGGACAGCCCCGAGCUAGCCCAGCCACGCCUAACCAUUGUGGUUACUCUUAGGCAUUCAUAAUUUAUUACUAUAACAUGUUCUUUGUUUUUCAGGCUGAACAAGAUGUUCCUGAGGCUGAUAAUCAUGACUCAUGAGGUAAUAUUAAAUUAAACAUACAGAUUAUAUUUUGAAAAACAAAUUGUGUUUUCACAAACAUACUGCAAACAUACUGAUCAUAUCAGGUUUAGUUCCAUCCGAUGAUCGUUUUGGUUAAGGAAAAACAUUGGAGGUGAAUGAAGAAGAAGAACAGAAUAUUUUGGAUCCAUUAUAAAGAUGACCAGAAUUGUAUGCUUUUGCUUAAUAUGUGGCAAUCAUACACUAAUUAAUAUGUUUAACUCAUGUCAUUUUCAAUGUUUUAGACUCAAUCCACUAUCUGCUUUUGUUGAGACACUUUUCUUACUAGUGUAUCUAAAACUUUUGUUAUUCUAA